AGGUUCGGAGAGGAGCUGGGUUCAGAGGAGCAGGCCUGGGGGGUCAGCAGCUACUGCCCUGCCUUGGGUGGGGCCAAGGGGCGCGAUUUGGGAGGGCGGGGAUCGGAGGAUGCUUCGGAGGAUGCUUCGAAGGAUCCUUGGGGUUAUCCUAGAAUAUUCCUUGAGGGUUAUCGCAGUAGGUGAGGGCCAGAUUAGUUGAGUGUGCGUAGCUGGAUCCCCGUUCUGGUCGGCGGGGCCUUGAGGGUCCUUUCCGAGGGCUUGAGGCCUGGAGAGUGCUGGGGGCGAGCACGCAGCGAAGGGGCAGGCCUGAAAUGUGACAGGUCAUUUUUCUAUUUGUGCUUGCAAGAUAUUCUCUUUGGAUUUCAAGAUUUUUGACCAUGAUGUGCCUGAGUGUUUUGUCCUGUCUAACCAUGGCUGGAAUCUCUCAAAAAUGAGCAGUAAGGGAGUUCCCACAAGGGAGUGGCUGAAAUUGAGGAGAGAGGCCAUUUCUCCUACUGUCCCCUGUCUCCAAAGAAAAGGAGGAAGUAAAAACUGAAAAAUAACAGACUGAUCGGCACCACUGGCCAGGCCUGUAGGUUAAAGAUUAACCCACAACCUAACCGCUUGUGAUAUCUAUAUAUCACAGACAAUGGUAUGGAGAAACACUUGCCUUGCUCACCACCCCCACCUAGUCAUGUACCCCAUGCUUGUUCAAUCUAUCACGACCCUUUCACGUGGACCCCUUAGAGUUGUAAGCCCUUAAAAGGGCCAGGAACUCUUUCUUAGGGGGGCUUCGUUCUUGAGACGCAUGUCUGCCAACGCUCCUGACCAAAUAAAGCCUCUUCCUUACAUUUCUUGGUUCCCUGACCGGGAAGCGAGGUGAUUAACGAUGGUCGAGGCAGCCCCUUAGGCGGCUUAGGCCUGCCCUGCGGAGCAUCCCUGCAGGGGACUCCGGCCAGUUUGAGCAACGCGGAUCCUGAGAGCACUCCCGGGUAGGCAUUUGCCCUCGUGGAACACCUCGUCAGAGCGGUGCAUGGCAGGCCCCCACAGAGGAUCAAUGCAGCGGCUGAACACCAGGAAGGAACUGGCACUUGGAGUCUGGACAUCUGGAAUAUGUGGGAGGAUCUGGAGUCAGCUGUCACCACUCAGUACACUUGGACCCGGCUCCCCCAAGGGUUCAAGAACUCCCCCACCAUCUUCGGGGAGGCACUGGCUCGAGACCUCCAGAAAAUUCCCACCAGAGACCUAGGCUUCGUGCUGCUCCAGUACGUUGACAACUUCCUGCUGGGACACCCCAUGGCAGUCAUGUGUGCCAAGGGAAUGGAUACCCUGCUCUGGCACCUGGAGGACUAUAGGUAUAAGGUGUCCAAGAAGGAAGCUCAGAUCUGCAGAUAGCAGGUAUGUUACCUGGGAUUUACUAUCCGACAGGGAGAGCACAGCCUGGGAUCAGAAAGAAAGCAAGUCAUCUGCAACCUGCUGGAGCCUAAGACCAGAAGGCAGGUGAGAGAAUUCUUAGGAGCUGUAGGGUUCUGCAGAUUGUGGAUCCCAAACUUUGCAGUAUUGGCUAAGCCCCUGUACGGAGUCACAAAGUGAGGAGACACAGAACUUUUCAAAUGGGGGUCCCAACAGCAAUGAGCUUUUCAUGAGUUAAAAGAGAAACUCAUGUCGGCCCCAGCCCUGGGGCUACCUGACCUAACAAAACCUUUCACACUGUAUGUGUCAGAGAGAGAAAAAAUGGCCAUUGGAGUUUUAAUCCAGAUGGUGGGGCCCUGGCCAAGACCGGUAGCCUACCUCUCCAAAGAGCUAGAUGGAGUUUCUAAGGCAAGGUCUGAAAGAUGCGAGAUGUAGAAGUACCAGCCUAACAACUUUUCAAGUGACUCUUGGCCUAGGUGGGUGGUCUCAUGCACAGCCAGUAUGACUGCGGCUCCUAGCAGUUGUGGCAUGGCUAUUCUUCCAUCCGACAACUGGAUCCAUCCCUCUUCUAUCACCUGCCCUCCCUCUGCCUGGAGAAAGUCCAGGCAGGAUGAAUUGCUGGUGAAUUAUCUCAUGCCCCCUGACAGUGCAGGUCUGGGGCAAACAGAAAGCUUGCUUUGCCGAAACCCCCGUGGCUCCAAUUAUAUCAAUAGUCUUUUUGGAUAAGGGGGCGACUGGGGUGGUUACUACUGAAUGUUCAGCACCAGUAUCGACAAGAAUUAUCUGUCGAUAAUUGAGCCUGGCCCCUGUGCUUAAGAGCCUUGGCAGCAACUGCCCUGCUAGCACUAGAGGCAGAUAAGCUACCUCUUGCCCUAACUUUAUGUUUAGGGCAAAACCUAAACAUAAAGGCCCCCUAGCUGGGCACGGUGGUUCACGCUUGUAAUACCAGCACUUUGGGAGGCUGAGGCGGGCGGGUCAUGAGGUCAGGAGAUCGAGAUCAUCCUGGCUAACACGGUGAAACCCCAUCUCUACUAAAAAUACAGAAAAAUUAGCCGGGCAUGGUGGCGGGCGCCUGUAGUCCCAGCUACUCGGGAGGCUGAGGCAGGAGAAUGGCGUGAUCCCGGGAGGCAGAGCUUGCAGUGAGCCAAGAUCGCACCACUGCACUCCAGCCUGGGCAACAGAGUGAGACUCCAUCUCAAAAAAAAGAAAAAACAUAAAGGCCUCCCCAUGCUGUGGUAACACUAAUGAACACCAAAGGACGUAACUGGCUAACGAAUGCUAGACUAACUAGGUACCAAAGCUUGCUCUGUGAGAAUCCCCGCAUAACCAUUGAAGUUUGCAACACCCUGAACCCCGCCACCUUGCUCCUGGUAUCAGAGAGCCAAGUUGAACAUAACUGUGUAGAGGUGUUGCAGUCAGUUUAUUCUAGCAGGCCCGACCUCCGAGACCAUCCUUGGACAACAGUAGACUGGGAGCUGUACGUGGACGGGAGCAGCUUUGUCGACCCACAAGAAGAGAGGUGUGUAGGAUAUGGUAAUCCUGGAUGCUGUCAUUGAAGCCAAAUCGUUGCCCUAGGGCACUUCAGCCCGCAAGACCAAACUCAUUGCUUUAAUUCUGGCCUUUGAGCUAAGUGAAGGUAAGACUGUAAACAUUUACACUGACUCUUGGUAUGCCUUUUUAACUCUCCAACUGCGUGGGGCAUUCUACAAGGAAAAAGCCCUGUUGAACGCUGGGAGAAAAGACAUAAAGUAUCAGCAAGAGAUCCUGCAAUUAUUAGAGGCAGUGUGGAAGCCCCAAAAGGUGGCUCAUGCACUGCAGAGGACACCAGCGAGCUUCUACCUCGAUUGCCUUGGGGAACCCCCAAGCUGACUCAGAGGCUCGAAAAGCAGCAUCCACCCCCUACCAGGCAUCAGUCACAGCCCCCUGCUCCCUCAGGCACCUGACCUUGUACCUACUUAUUCUAAAGAGAAGGACUUUCUCCAGGCAGAGGGAGGGCAGGUGAUAGAAGAGGGAUGGAUCCAGUUAUCGGAUGGAAGAAUAGCUGUGCCACAACUGCUAGGAGCCGCAGUCAUACUGGCUGUGCAUGAGACCACCCACCUAGGCCAAGAGUCACUUGAAAAGUUGUUAGGCUGGUACUUCUACAUCUUGCAUCUUUCAGCCCUUGCCAAAACAGUGGCGCAGCAGUGUGUCACCUUCUGGCAGCACAAUGCUAGGCAAGGUCUAACCAUCCCCGCCAGCAUACAAGCUUAUGGAGCAGCCCCUUUUGAAGAUCUCCAAGUAGACUUCACCAAGAUGCCCAAAUGUGGAGGUAACAAGUAUUUGCUAGUUCUAGUGUGUACAUACUCUGGGUGGGUGGAGGCCUAUCCAACACGGACCGAGAAAGCUCGUGAAGUAACCCAUGUGCUUCUCCGAGAUCUCAUCCCUAGGUUUGGACUGCCCUUACAAAUCAGCUCAGACAACGGGCCGGCAUUUGUGGCUGACUUGUUACAGAAGACAGCAAAGGUAUUGGGGAUCACAUGGAAACUACAUACCACCUACUGACCACAAAGUUCCGGAAAGGUGAAGCAGAUGAAUCGCACUAUCGGAAAUAGUUUAGGGAAAGUGUGUCAAGAAACAGGAUUAAAGUGGGUACAAGCUCUCCCUAUGGUAUUAUUUAAGAUUAGAUGUACCCCUUCUAGAAGAACAGGAUAUUCCCCUUAUGAAAUAUUAUAUCAUAGGCCCCCUCCCAUACUACGGGGACUCCCAGGCACUCCUCGAGAGCUAGGUGAAAUUGCGUUACAGCGACAGCUACAGGCUUUAGGGAAAAUUACACAAUUUCAGCCUGGGUAAAUGAGAGGUGCCCCGGCAGCUUAUUCUCCCCAGUUCACCCUUUCUCCCCAGGUGAUCAGGUGUGGAUCAAGGAUUGGAACAUAGGCUCCUUGCGGCCACGGUGGAAAGGACCCCAGACCAUCAUCUUGACCACUCCCACAGCCGUAAAGAUAGAGGGAAUCCCAGCCUGGAUCCAACACAGCCAGGUAAAACCUGCAGCACCUGAGACCUGGGAGGUGAGACCAAGCCUAGAUAACCCCUGCAAAGUGACUCUGAAGAAGAUGACAAGCCCUGCUCCAGUCACACUCAGAAGCUGACUGGUCCACGCAUGGCCAAAGCAUGAGAAAACUCAUCGUGGGACUCAUUUUCCUUAAAUUUUGGACUUGUACAGUAAGGACUUCAGCUGACCUUCCUCAGACUGAGAACUGUUCCCAGUCACUAAGGUAGGACAAAAUCAAGUCACUAAGGUAGGACAAAAGGUUGCUGCAGUCCUAUUAUUUUAUAGUUAGUAUGAGUGUACUGGGACUCUAAAAGGAACUUGUUUGUAUAAUGCUACUCUAUACAAGGUAUGUAGCCCAGGAAGUGACCAGUCUGAUGUGUACUAUAACCCAUCUGAGCCCCCCUAUGACUACUGUUUUUGAAAUAAGAUCGAGGACUGGCAGCUGGGGAAAAGCUGAUACUAGUAAAGUAAUAACUAGAACAGAAGAGAAAGGAGUCCCCAAACAAAUUAUCUUAAAAUUUGAUGCCUGUGCAGCAAUCAACAGUGACCCAUAUGGAAAUAGAAUAAGAUGUGGCUCUCUAGAUUGGGAAAGGGGCUAUAUAGUAGAAAAUAAGUAUGUUUGUCAUGAAUUAGGACUGUGAAGUGAUGAAUGUAGUUACUGGUCCUGUGUCAUUUAGGCCACCUGGAAAAAAAGAUGAGAAGGACCCUGUCCGCCUUCAAAAAGGAAAGAGUAACUCUUCCUGCACUAGUGGUCACUGUAACCCAUUGAACUACUAAUUACCAAUCCCCUUGAUCCCUGCUGGAAAACAGGAGAGUAUGUAACUCUAGGAAUCGAUGGAACUGGACUGGAUCCCUGAGUAAAUAUUUUAGUCCAAGGGGAGGUCCACAAGCGAUCUUCCAAACCAGUGUUUCAGACCUUUUAUGAUGAGCUGAAUCUGCCAGCACCAGAGCUUCCACAAAAAAGGACAAAGAACUUGUUUCUCCAGUUAGCAGAAUAUGUAGCUCAUUCCCUCAAUGUUACUUCCUGUUAUGUAUGUGAGGGAACCACUAUGGGAGACUGAUGGCCUUGGGAAACCCAAGAAUUAGUGCCUACUGAUCCAGUUCCUGACAUAAUUCCAGUCCAGAAGGCCCAAACUAGCAACUUUUGGGUCUUGAAAACCUCUAUUAAUGGACAAUACUGCAUACCUAGAAAAGGAAAAGACUUCACCAUCCCUGUAGGAAGGCUCAAUUGUCUAGGACAGAAGCUGUAUAAAAGCAUAACAGGGACACAGGGACAGUCACCUGGUGGGGUCUAAACCAUACUGAAAAUAAUCCCUUCAGUAAAUUUCCUAAAUUACAGACUGCUUAGGCCCAUCCACAAUCUCAUCAAGACUGGAUGGCUCCCGCUGGACUAUACUGGAUAUGUAGGCACAGAGCCUACACUCAGUUACCUGAUCAAUGGGCAGGUAGUUGUGUCAUUGGCACCAUUAAGCCAUCCUUUUUCCUACUGCCCAUAAAAACAGGUGACCUCCUAGGUUUCCCUGUCUAUGCCUCCCAAGAAAAGAGGAGCAUAGCUAUAGCAAAUUGGAAAGAUGAUGAGUGGUGCCCCGAAAGGAUCAUACAGUACUAUAGGCCUGCCACAUGGGCACAAGACGACUCAUAGGGAUACCAUACCCCCAUCUACAUGCUCAACUGGAUCAUACGGUUACAGGCCAUCUUAGAAAUAAUCACUAGUGAAACUGGCAGAGCUUUAACUCUUUUAGCCCAGCAGGAAACCCAAAUGAGAAAUGCCAUCUAUCAGAAUAGAUUGGCCUUAGACUAUUUGCUGGCAGCUGAAGGAGGAGUCUGUGAAAAAUUCAACUUGACCAAGUGCUGUCUGCAAAGAGAUGAUCAAGGACAAGUAGUCAAAAAUAUAGUUAGAGACAUGACAAAGCUGGCACAUGUACCCAUGCAGGUUUGGCAUAGGUUUGAUCCUGGAUCCCUGUUUGGAAAAUGGCUUCCAGCUCUAGGAGGAUUUAAAACUCUUAUAAUAGGAAUGAUAAUGGUGUUAGGAACCUGCAUGUUACUCCCCUGUAUGUUACCCAUAUUUCUCCAGUUACUAAGAAGCUUCGUUAUCACCUUAGUUCAUCAAAAGACCUCAGCACAAGUAUACUACAUGAAUCACUAUUGAUCUGUCUCACAGGAAGAUCUAGAUAGUGAGGAUGAUAAUGAGAACUCCCACUAGUGAGUGAGGUUCUCAAAGGGGGGAAUGAGGAGAGAGGCCAUUUCUCCUACUGUCCCCUAUCUCCAAAGAAAAGGAGGAAGUAAAAACUGAAAAAAUAACAGACUGAUCAGCACCACUGGCCAGGCCCGUAGGUUAAAGAUUAACCCACACCCUAACCGCUUGUGCUAUCUAUAGAUCACAGACAAUGGUAUGGAGAAACACUUGCCUUGCUCACCACCCCCACCUAGCCAUGUACCCCAUGCUUGUUCAAUCUAUCACGACCCUUUCAUGUGGACCCCUUAGAGCUGUAAGCCCUUAAAAGGGCCAAGAACUCUUUCUCUGGGACUCAGUUCUUGAGACGCAAGCCUGCCGAUGCUCCUGGCCGAAUAAAGCCUCUUCCUUCUUUAA
Long non-coding RNA from Homo sapiens (human), 7010 nucleotides. RefSeq lists it as uncharacterized. Lineage: Eukaryota; Metazoa; Chordata; Mammalia; Primates; Hominidae. The record is from RefSeq and is a predicted model, not a curated record. The transcript is spliced from 3 exons.